CUACGGGGCGCAGCAGUGGGGAAUAUUGGGCAAUGGGCGCAAGCCUGACCCAGCAACGCCGCGUGAGGGAAGAAGGCUUUCGGGUUGUAAACCUCUGUCCUUGGUGACGAAACAAAUGACGGUAGCCAAGGAGGAAGCCCCGGCUAACUACGUGCCAGCAGCCGCGGUAAUACGUAGGGGGCGAGCGUUGUCCGGAAUUACUGGGCGUAAAGGGUGCGUAGGUGGCCUUUUAAGUUGGAUGUGAAAUACCCGGGCUUAACUUGGGGGGUGCAUCCAAAACUGGAGGGCUAGAGUGCAGGAGAGGAAAGCGGAAUUCCUAGUGUAGCGGUGAAAUGCGUAGAUAUUAGGAGGAACACCAGUGGCGAAGGCGGCUUUCUGGACUGUAACUGACACUGAGGCACGAAAGCGUGGGGAGCAAACAGGAUUAGAUACCCGUGUAGUC
RNAcentral lists this ribosomal RNA (442 nucleotides) under uncultured bacterium. Its description in RNAcentral is "partial 16S ribosomal RNA". It matches the Rfam family "Bacterial small subunit ribosomal RNA", at positions 339 to 795 of the family's 1533-position model. The record is from RNAcentral.